GCAAGUCGAGCGACGCAUAUCGGAGGAGUAAUCCACUGGUAUGACGGAGCGGCGAACGGGUGAGUAUCACGUGAGAAACCUGCCCCGAAGACCGGGAUAGCCCGGGGAAACCCGGAUUAAUACCGGAUAUUCUCUACAGAUCGCAUGGUCUGUUGAGGAAAGGCCUUUGCGCUUCGGGAUGGUCUCGCGACCUAUCAGCUAGUUGGUGAGGUAAUGGCUCACCAAGGCAACGACGGGUAGCUGGUCUGAGAGGACGAUC
RNAcentral lists this ribosomal RNA (259 nucleotides) under uncultured bacterium. Its description in RNAcentral is "partial 16S ribosomal RNA". It matches the Rfam family "Bacterial small subunit ribosomal RNA", at positions 57 to 305 of the family's 1533-position model. The record is from RNAcentral.